Molecule: ribosomal RNA, 763 nt
Filed under: uncultured Prevotella sp.
Lineage: Bacteria; Pseudomonadati; Bacteroidota; Bacteroidia; Bacteroidales; Prevotellaceae
Description: bacterial SSU rRNA
Rfam family: Bacterial small subunit ribosomal RNA
Source: RNAcentral
GAUGAACGCUAGCUAUAGGCUUAACACAUGCAAGUCGAGGGGAAACGGCAUUAUGUGCUUGCACAUUCUGGACGUCGACCGGCGCACGGGUGAGUAUCGCGUAUCCAACCUUCCCUCCACUCGGGGAUACCCCGUUGAAAGACGGCCUAAUACCCGAUGUUGUCCACAUAUGGCAUCUGACGUGGACCAAAGAUUCAUCGGUGGAGGAUGGGGAUGCGUCUGAUUAGCCUGUUGGUGCGGGUAACGGCCCACCAAGGCGACGAUCAGUAGGGGUUCUGAGAGGAAGGUCCCCCACAUUGGAACUGAGACACGGUCCAAACUCCUACGGGAGGCAGCAGUGAGGAAUAUUGGUCAAUGGACGUAAGUCUGAACCAGCCAAGUAGCGUGCAGGAUUGACGGCCCUAUGGGUUGUAAACUGCUUUUGUUGGGGAGUAAAGUGAGGCACGCGUGCCUUUUUGCAUUUACCCUUCGAAUAAGGACCGGCUAAUUCCGUGCCAGCAGCCGCGGUAAUACGGAAGGUCCAGGCGUUAUCCGGAUUUAUUGGGUUUAAAGGGAGUGUAGGCGGUCUGUUAAGCGUGUUGUGAAAUUUAGGUGCUCAACAUUUAACUUGCAGCGCGAACUGGCGGACUUGAGUGCACGCAACGUAUGCGGAAUUCGUGGUGUAGCGGUGAAAUGCUUAGAUAUCAUGACGAACUCCGAUUGCGAAGGCAGCGUACGGGAGUGUUACUGACGCUUAAGCUCGAAGGUGCGGGUAUCGAACAGG